This 418-nucleotide ribosomal RNA is filed under the name uncultured bacterium. RNAcentral's name for it is "bacterial SSU rRNA". It matches the Rfam family "Bacterial small subunit ribosomal RNA", at positions 355 to 792 of the family's 1533-position model. The record is from RNAcentral.
UGGGGAAUUUUGCACAAUGGGGGAAACCCUGAUGCAGCGACGCCGCGUGAUUUAGAAGGCCUUCGGGUUGUAAAAAUCUUUUGUAUAGGAAGAAAAUGACAGUACUAUACGAAUAAGGUCCGGCUAAUUACGUGCCAGCAGCCGCGGUAAUACGUAAGGACCGAGCGUUGUCCGGAAUCAUUGGGCGUAAAGGGUACGUAGGCGGGUCACUAAGUUAGAAGUCAAAGGCUAUAGCUCAACUAUAGUAAGCUUCUAAAACUGGAGACCUUGAGUAAUGGAAGGGAAAGUGGAAUUCCUAGUGUAGCGGUGGAAUGCGCAGAUAUUAGGAGGAAUACCGGUGGCGAAGGCGACUUUCUGGCCAUUAACUGACGCUGAGGUACGAAAGCGUGGGUAGCAAACAGGAUUAGAUACCCUGGUA